GAGUGAGCACACCACCUUGAGAACCACAGGUCCACAUAGAUCAGUGGUUCUCAGGCCUUGCAGCAAUCCGGAAUCACCGUGGAGGACGACAAGAAGGAAGAUGCCCAUCGCAGACCAACUGAAUCAGAAUCUCCAGGGGUGAUUCUGAUGCACACCACAGAGGGUUCAUGAAGGCCAAGGAGACAUUGAGAUCUCCCAGGAAAGAGAGAAAGAGUGAGUGCAAAACACAGUCCCAAACCCCAAAGCAUCUUACUAUUGAGCACCAAAAGUCUGUACUUCCUGUAGUAAAGAAUGCGCUUAAUUGAACUCUAAUGAGCUUUCCACUACUGGCCGCACUCCGGCCCACGGAAUACAUGAAUCACUUGUCCUUAUGCAGUGCAAGAGUCCUCCACUAAUGUUUGGAGCCCUAAACGUAGCCACUUGAGCUUCCCAUCUAUCAGGCAUAGUUAGGGAUCCCAGAAGCCUCACAUAGCCUGGCGAUAAAACAGUCAGAGAAAGAGCUGGAAGGCAAUAGGUGACAAACCCCAGCCCUUCCUAGAUGUCGCUGUGGACAAUGGAUGCUGUCUCCUAGAAACAAUCCCUUCCCUUGCACCCCAAGACCGGAUGAAGUGAACAUUUCUGAAACACGUCCAGGAGACAGACUGUUCUCUGGGAGGCUACGAGCUGUCUCUUCUAGCAAAGAAGGGAAAAACGAUGAGUGCCCGGAAGUCAGAUCACUGGAUUAAAAGAAGCAGCCCGUGUCUCCUAUUUGUACACUUGAUUUCUAAACAUCAUUUAAAUGCAACAGCGAGAAAAUAGAGUAAUUCAGGAGCAGCAGAUAGGAACCUGAUUCCAGUCACUCUCUGGACAAGACAUUUUCUCUCAACAAUCCAGAGGCCCUUGAAAUGUGCACUUAACCAUACAACGUGUUUUGUGUGUCAGUGGCACAGUCUCUUUGUUGAGAAUUAAUUGUAUGUGCCUUCACUCCUGUUGAAACUACCCUCUGAGAAGCCUGGCAGACUUCCAGGGACCCCGGCCCCUGGAACUGACACCCAAGUUCGGGACUUCUUAGUGACUCGGAAUCUGAGAGCUGGACAUUCACACAGUGUUCUUGCUUAAAGGUUCUCUUUGCCGUAAGCUACCCGAGAAGUCAUCACAACGUACAGAGGACAAUGAGCUCUUCACUUCCCGUGAAGUCACCCCCCCCCCCCCCCCCCCCCGUCACUCCAAGGGCACCUUCUUUGCGUUUGUGCACAUCAAAGAAGCUUGAGGGCAAGAUCAUAGCCCCCUGGCCCAGCCCUAGAUUGCCAGCACACAGUGAGGUCAACAACAACAGAAUGCUUUCCCGAUUCAUGGUAAUUCAUCUUCAAAGGAACAGUCCCCUCUCUGAAGGAUCCUCAGGCAUUUUAAGAUGAGUUCCAUCAAAUCGGGCUCAUAAAAGCCCUUCCGGCUUAAUUAAUUUGCUCCAGGUAACUUGUAUAGAAAGCCUGAACACAAAAGAAAAUUAAAAUACGUCCCAAAGUGGUGGUGUUCUCCAUCCCUUGUUGAACAGGGUAAAGAAAUUUGGACAUUUCUCUGAA
Molecule: long non-coding RNA, 1559 nt
Organism: Acinonyx jubatus (cheetah)
Lineage: Eukaryota; Metazoa; Chordata; Mammalia; Carnivora; Felidae
Exons: 3
Source: RefSeq, a predicted model, not a curated record